Molecule: ribosomal RNA, 484 nt
Filed under: uncultured bacterium
Lineage: Bacteria
Description: partial 16S ribosomal RNA
Rfam family: Bacterial small subunit ribosomal RNA
Source: RNAcentral
AUUGAACGCUGGCGGCAGGCCUAACACAUGCAAGUCGAGCGGAAGAAGGGAGCUUGCUCCUGGAUUCAGCGGCGGACGGGUGAGUAAUGCCUAGGAAUCUGCCUGGUAGUGGGGGAUAACGUCCGGAAAUGGGCGCUAAUACCGCAUACGUCCUGAGGGAGAAAGUGGGGGAUCUUCGGACCUCACGCUAUCAGAUGAGCCUAGGUCGGAUUAGCUAGUUGGUGGGGUAAAGGCCUACCAAGGCGACGAUCCGUAACUGGUCUGAGAGGAUGAUCAGUCACACUGGAACUGAGACACGGUCCAGACUCCUACGGGAGGCAGCAGUGGGGAAUAUUGGACAAUGGGCGAAAGCCUGAUCCAGCCAUGCCGCGUGUGUGAAGAAGGUCUUCGGAUUGUAAAGCACUUUAAGUUGGGAGGAAGGGCAGUAAGUUAAUACCUUGCUGUUUUGACGUUACCAGCAGAAUAAGCACCGGCUAACUUCGUG